RNAcentral lists this ribosomal RNA (475 nucleotides) under uncultured bacterium. Its description in RNAcentral is "bacterial SSU rRNA". It matches the Rfam family "Bacterial small subunit ribosomal RNA", at positions 335 to 800 of the family's 1533-position model. The record is from RNAcentral.
ACUCCUACGGGAGGCAGCAGUGGGGAAUAUUGCACAAUGGGCGCAAGCCUGAUGCAGCCAUGCCGCGUGUAUGAAGAAGGCCUUCGGGUUGUAAAGUACUUUCAGCAGUGAGGAAGGUGGGUAUGUUAAUAGCAUACUCAUUUGACGUUAGCUGCAGAAGAAGCACCGGCUAACUCCGUGCCAGCAGCCGCGGUAAUACGGAGGGUGCGAGCGUUAAUCGGAAUUACUGGGCGUAAAGCGCAUGCAGGUGGUUUGUUAAGUCAGAUGUGAAAGCCCGGGGCUCAACCUCGGAAUUGCAUUUGAAACUGGCAAACUAGAGUACUGUAGAGGGGGGUAGAAUUUCAGGUGUAGCGGUGAAAUGCGUAGAGAUCUGAAGGAAUACCGGUGGCGAAAGGCGGCCCCCUGGACAGAUACUGACACUCAGAUGCGAAAGCGUGGGGAGCAAACAGGAUUAGAUACCCUGGUAGGCUACUGC